This 429-nucleotide ribosomal RNA is filed under the name uncultured archaeon. Its description in RNAcentral is "bacterial SSU rRNA". It matches the Rfam family "Archaeal small subunit ribosomal RNA", at positions 474 to 903 of the family's 1478-position model. The record is from RNAcentral.
UACCAGCUCUCCGAGUGGUAGGGAUGAUUAUUGGGCUUAAAGCGUCCGUAGCUGGCUUAGCAAGUCUCCUGUUAAAUUCAGCGACCUAAUCGUUGAGCCGCGGGAGAUACUACUAGGCUAGGAGGCGGGAGAGGUCGACGGUACUUUCGGGGUAGGGGUGAAAUCCUAUAAUCCCGGGAGGACCACCAGUGGCGAAGGCUGUCGACUAGAACGCGCUCGACGGUGAGGGACGAAAGCUGGGGGAGCGAACCGGAUUAGAUACCCGGGUAGUCCCAGCUGUAAACUAUGCGGGCUAGGUGUUGGGGUGGCUACGGGCCACUUCAGUGCCGCAGGAAAGCCAUUAAGCCCGCCGCCUGGGGAGUACGGCCGCAAGGCUGAAACUUAAAGGAAUUGGCGGGGGAGCACCACAAGGCGUGAAGCUUGCGGUUC